AUCCAUGUUGUUCGGGACCAAAGUCUGUGAUUGGUUAUCUGGGAGAGACCGUCACUAUCAACUGUUCCUAUCCAGAGGAGUUUCAGUGUUACAGCAAGUACUUAUUCAAACGGAAGGAUAAUCAUUUACAUGAAGUGAUCAGAACCUCAGACUCUCAGAUAGACAGAUUCUCCAUCUCUGAUGACAGAAGCUCUAGAGUUUCAGUUUGAGAAUCAGAGAUGUGAGAAAAGAUGAUGGAGAAGUUUAUUUCUUUGGAUCGGCGAAGGGAGGAGAGUCCGUGAGUUACUCUACACUAUCACAGAGAUUCAUCUACAGGUUUCUGACUCUAAAGAAACACUCAGACCAAGAGCAACUAUCCAAUCAACAUCAGUGACGUACAGGAGAACAUCAACACCAACAGAACCAACAGUGACCAUCUCUACUGAAGAACCUUCCAGUAAGAACUCAGUCAUUACCCAGAAUUCCUCUUUCUAUAUUCUAUAUUCAUGUUAAAUGUGUUCAGGCAGAACUUCAGAGCUUUAGGCUCCACACCUGAAACUGGUCUGUUCUUUCUGUAUCUCAGCUCCAGGCUCCUCGAUCAUCACCAACAUUACCUCUGUGAGUAUCUGUGUGGUUCUGCUGCUGAUUGGAGGAUUAAUACUGAUCUACUACAAGCCUCAAGACUCUGCCUUCAUCAGUCAACCCUCAGGAACCAAUGAACAAGUAAGUUAAUGGUUAUCUGGUUCAUUUAACUUGCAGUGCAACCUAAACAUGGUUA
Molecule: long non-coding RNA, 757 nt
Filed under: Astyanax mexicanus (Mexican tetra)
Lineage: Eukaryota; Metazoa; Chordata; Actinopteri; Characiformes; Acestrorhamphidae
Description: lncRNA (ENSAMXG00005002681.1)
Source: RNAcentral